AGAGAGAGAGACCAACAUCUCUUGCUUCAAAGAGAAGCUUGUGAUAGUUUCUAAAUUAAGAUUAAUAUUAAUUAAUUAUGAUUAGUUUUAUAGUAUAAGGGAUGGUAGAGAAGGGUUUAAAUUAUGGGUCACGGCCAUGAAAUUCUGAGCAAACAGCAGAGAAACACACACGCACAUUAAUACCGACACAAUAAUAAAGCCAUAGCUAUCUGCUUCGAAGUCGUGUGGAGCUCUGGAGGUGGCCCUUCUUUUCACAAUAGAUCUCGUUCUGUUAUUAUUUUAUUUACCUUUUUUGGGGAUUAAAUACCCAAACAUGAUAUGGGUGCGUGGUUUUCUUCCCCCUUAAUUUAUGUUUUCUCAACUUUUAGGGUCAUCCCUG
Molecule: long non-coding RNA, 379 nt
Filed under: Prunus persica (peach)
Lineage: Eukaryota; Viridiplantae; Streptophyta; Magnoliopsida; Rosales; Rosaceae
Description: long non-coding RNA (PPER_LNC002854)
Source: RNAcentral